Anguilla rostrata (American eel) is the source of this 2237-nucleotide long non-coding RNA. RefSeq lists it as uncharacterized. The transcript is spliced from 2 exons. NCBI's taxonomy places the organism in Eukaryota, Metazoa, Chordata, Actinopteri, Anguilliformes, Anguillidae. The record is from RefSeq and is a predicted model, not a curated record.
ACGCACGUUUUCACUCCUAGAUGAAUAGUUUAAAAUAUGAGAACAUCGUCGUAUGUUAUUUUUGUUGUCAUUUAAAAUGUACAGAUAUAUGUUUUAUGAACGUUGUAGCACGUCUGUUUUGGAUGACCACGUAUUUGAGGUUAUUAGCAAAAUGUUUAGCAAAACAAACCAAGGUUGUUAUAUAUUUUGUUCUAUUUGAGAACUAAAAAUUGUGUUUUACCUAACAGUUAUGUUUUAUCAGUGUUUUAAGUGACACUUGAACAGAAGAUUGGCUUGUCGCUAUAUUUUUAUUACCAUAUGAAAUUCAAGUUAAUAUUUAAUGUAUGUGUUUACAUUAUAGCCUCUUGGGGUCAUCGAUAUCAAAGUGCAGUUUUAAGGAACCGCAAACACAAGACCAACUUUUCUGUGUGCGAGGCUUAAAUUCCCCAAUCAGACCAACGCUGACGGGAGAGGACCAAUGCAGAGACAGAGAGGCUGCGAAUGUCCCGUUUUUGUUUAAUAUACACCUCCUUUCUGUUUCUGUCCCCGCCCCUCUGUCAACUGUGAAUUCAGCGCCACCGCAAUCAAUCAGUUAUUUGUCAGUCCUUGUCAAUCCGCCCUUGAUUUAUGUCCAGGGUUUGUCGCUGAUUACAAGCUUUGUGAGAUUGGGAAAGGAGGAAGGGAAAAACGGUCAUUCUGAAAAGAGUCAUUUGAUUUGUGGAAAUAAAUUGUUUUCGGUGUUAAGUCAGCUGAUCUCGCUAACAAUACCGGACUGGAGAACUGGCUGGGAUGACAGACUAUCUUUAAAUUAAGCAUAAUGAAGUCGGAUUCGCUUCAAACAAAUAACUCGACGUUCUGCGAUCAACUAAAUCUUGGCGGUAGCCUCCUAAAUCCAGUUCGCCUUCAUUAUCGAAGCACCGCUUUGACUACGUUGUAACCUACUCCAGGUGUAGGCUACUGGAUCGACCUCAUUUAAAGCAAAAUAAUACAGUGAAAUUACGUGGGACUUUAUGCCACUUUCGCGGUCGAAAAAGUUCGUGGGUUGUCUUUAUAUUAAGAGACCUUAUAGGCACUCUUGAGUUCUUUCUUUUUAACCAGUGCCGGAAGAGACAGUUUCAAUGCUGUAAGAGAAGAACGGCUGUUAGCCGCCCCACACUGUGCAUAUAAUAGUAUGCCAUUGCUUUUGUUUUCCCGCUGGCUUGGUGGCCUUAACAAUUUUCAGGAGCAACCAAAGGUCACUUGGAGAUAACGUCUGACACAUGUGGAUUGUGGAAAGAGUUUAGGACUCUGGGAAAGUUCCCGACCUAUUUUAUUUUUAUUGUAUCGUUGGCAUUCCUAAUCGUCUUUUCCUUAUAAAACCUAGAAUGAUGGACUGAGUUUUUUUUUCAGAAUUUGUUGCAUUUUGGAGCCAAUUUUUAAUUUUCCACAUUCAUGGUUUAUUUUUAAUCCUAAACGUUUACUGUCUGCAGGAAAAUAAAAAAUAUGUCACUGGUUCAUUUGGAAUUCAUUGCAAGUUACGAAACAGUGUCUUAUAGGACCGGGGAACUUUGGUUUUCACGUUGUGUUUAUUCUGUCUCUUCUGCUAAAGUUAAGUUUAAUCAUUGCUUGUAGGGUGCAGUCACCUCUGGGACGAUGCGAAUUUUCUAAGGUAGCCUAAAUCAAAAUCGCAGCAAAAGCCUGUUAAUGUGCUCACGGGAGGUGCUGACCGUCUUCUGUGGGCUCUUUUGGGGAUAAAACACUUCGAUAACGCCGCUAUUAACGGAAUGCCGGAAAGUCGUAGUUACUGAAGCUACUGCACAAACCCGGAUUCACUGCACAGUGGGGAAAAACCCUCCGGCUCUUUUGCGAUUACGUAUUUGCCUUCGACAUCAUAACAGCUCCAUAACAGGUGAACAGAAAAUUAAUUAACUUGAUUCAUUUUUUUAAAUAAUUAAUGAGCGAUUUUUGUUAUAUUUAAUAUAUAUAUAUAAAAUAAGUUAUUUUAAAUAUAAUGGGAAAAUGAGGAAUGAAAGGAUAAAAAGUGGUCUUCCAGACCUCUGAGAACAGAAGUUUAAAUAUGCCCAGAACUGUUCGCCGUUGAGGUGGUUAAUCAGUAUUGAGGCUUCGGGGCAAUGGGCAGGUUUUCAAAGCGGUAUUCCUUUCAUCUGAAGCUGGAUGGAGGCGCUCAAUUAAAAGUCUAUCAGUUUGUCGCCACGGAGAGCAAGAAAACCUGGAGUGGACAUCUUCUGAAAUAAAUAAAGAAAAAUUUUCCUUCGAAA